This 253-nucleotide ribosomal RNA is filed under the name uncultured bacterium. Its description in RNAcentral is "partial 16S ribosomal RNA". It matches the Rfam family "Bacterial small subunit ribosomal RNA", at positions 524 to 776 of the family's 1533-position model. The record is from RNAcentral.
UACGGAGGGUGCGAGCGUUGUCCGGAAUCACUGGGCGUAAAGGGCGCGUAGGCGGCCUGAUAAGUAGGGGGUGAAAUCCUGCGGCUUAACCGCAGGGCUGCCUUCUAAACUGUCGGGCUCGAGCACGGUAGAGGCAGAUGGAAUUCCCGGUGUAGCGGUGGAAUGCGUAGAGAUCGGGAAGAACAUCAGUGGCGAAGGCGGUCUGCUGGGCCGUUGCUGACGCUGAGGCGCGAAAGCUAGGGGAGCAAACGGG